Patella vulgata (common limpet) is the source of this 1053-nucleotide long non-coding RNA. RefSeq lists it as uncharacterized. Lineage: Eukaryota; Metazoa; Mollusca; Gastropoda; Patellidae. The record is from RefSeq and is a predicted model, not a curated record. The transcript is spliced from 6 exons.
UAAAACAAUACGAUUGGUUAAAACUAGAUACAUAGAUCAAGGACUAAGGAAGUAUCUUCAAAGAUUUUCUAGCUGUUAGUUCAAGAAAGAACUCCCAAAAAUCAUGAAGAUACAGGUUUUUAUUGUGGUGGCUGUUAUAGCUGUUUUAAGCUUUAUAAAUGUGACGAAUGGUCAGUGUACAGAAGAAAAGGGUAACGCAUGUAAAACCACUUACGACGGUUCCGUGAACAGUACGUCUAGCGCCGAGGACAACUGCACAGCUGCAUAUGUCUAUGGUAAAUGUUUAAUUGAUGAAACGUGCUAUAAUGAUGACACCCAGAGAACUGCUUUCACAGGGGAAGUAGGAUCUGACUUAAUAUGCUCAAAUUGUACAGUAACCACCGGACUAAUAUGUUUUACUACUUAUUGCAGUGAUAAGGCUACAUUAAAAACCUGUUUAGAUAAAAUAAGCUGCUACGUGGAUGUUUUCAAGACAGCGUAUGAUGGCUAUGAUUCCACGUGUGGGAGUGGAUGUACAGUGACUGUUAGUGUAUCGAUGAUGUUCCUCUCAACUCUACUCAUGUUUAUCAAAAACUAAUACGUGUUACUAAUACUAGUACUUGCUUUUUCUAAAAAUAUAAUUUAUGACGACACUGUUAUUUUUUUAACAGAUGACUAAGAUACUGUCACUUUUAAAAAAUAUAGAAACUAUUUGUUAGAAAAAUAAUAUUACACUUUUGUUUACAAAAUAAUAUUACAAAUUUCGAUGUAAAGCGUUAGAUUAUUUUAUCAUUGACCAUUGUAUAAAACAAACAAAUUGUUGGAAACUUUGGAUAUGAGGUGAUGAAAAGUGACGUAUUUAUAUACAGAAUAUUUCUAAGUAUUAUCUAAUAUUAAAUAUUAAAUACAUGUAUAUUAGUUUUUAGUCAUUGACCAUUAUAUUAAACAUCUUAAUUGAUGAAUAUUUUGGAUAUGAGAUGAAGAAAAUUAAUAUGCUUCAAUAAUUGCUCCAUGUUUGAUUAAACCAUUAUUUUGAUAAUAAUCUUAUGCAUCUCUGGCUUUAAUAAAAAAUUG